RNAcentral lists this ribosomal RNA (423 nucleotides) under uncultured bacterium. RNAcentral's name for it is "partial 16S ribosomal RNA". It matches the Rfam family "Bacterial small subunit ribosomal RNA", at positions 362 to 777 of the family's 1533-position model. The record is from RNAcentral.
UUUUCGUCAAUGGGCGCAAGCCUGAACGAGCGAUGCCGCGUGAGUGAAGAAGGCCUUCGGGUNGUAAAGCUCUGUUGCGGGGGAANNNNNNNANCAUCAGGAAAUGGGUGCUGACUGAUGGUGCCCCGCCNNNANGNCACGGCUAACUACGUGCCAGCAGCGGCGGUAAUACGGAGGUGGCGAGCGUUAUCCGGGAUGAUUGGGCGUAAAGGGUGCGCAGGCGGUCCUGCAAGUCUGGAGUGAAACGCAUGAGCUCAACUCAUGCAUGGCUUUGGAAACUGGAGGACUGGAGAGCAGGAGAGGGCGGUGGAACUCCAUGUGUAGCGGUAAAAUGCGUAGAUAUAUGGAAGAACACCAGUGGCGAAGGCGGCCGCCUGGCCUGUUGCUGACGCUGAGGCACGAAAGCGUGGGGAGCAAAUAGGA